GAAGAGGCGCUGAUGAUGAGAACUACCUAUUUUCUGAAGGGAUUUUUUUCCCCAUGAUUAUAAAUCACCAAUGGAUCCUUCUGAGCCUCUC
This is a small nucleolar RNA of Rhododendron vialii, 91 nucleotides long. The record is from RefSeq and is a predicted model, not a curated record. Lineage: Eukaryota; Viridiplantae; Streptophyta; Magnoliopsida; Ericales; Ericaceae.